RNAcentral lists this ribosomal RNA (440 nucleotides) under uncultured bacterium. RNAcentral describes it as "partial 16S ribosomal RNA". It matches the Rfam family "Bacterial small subunit ribosomal RNA", at positions 338 to 795 of the family's 1533-position model. The record is from RNAcentral.
CCUACGGGUGACUGCAGUGGGGAAUAUUGCACAAUGGGGGAAACCCUGAUGCAGCGACGCCGCGUGAGUGAAGAAGUAUCUCGGUACGUAAAGCUCUAUCAGCAGGGAAGAAAAUGACGGUACCUGACUAAGAAGCCCCGGCUAAACACAUGCCAGCAGCCGCGGUAAGACGUAGGGGGCAAGCGUUAUCCGGAUUGACUGGGUGUAAAGGGAGAGUAGACGGCAGCACAAGUCUGGAGUGAAAUCCCGGGGCUUAACCCGGGAACUGCUUUGGAAACUGUGUGGCUGGAGUGCGCGAGGGGUAAGCGGAAUGCGUAGUGUAGCGGUGAAAUGCAUAGAUAUUAGGCGGAACUCCGGUGGCGAAGGCUGCGUACUGGACUGUAACUGACGCUGAGGCUCGAAAGCGUGGGGAGCAAACAGGAUUAGAUACCCCUGUAGUC